This 425-nucleotide ribosomal RNA is filed under the name uncultured bacterium. RNAcentral's name for it is "bacterial SSU rRNA". It matches the Rfam family "Bacterial small subunit ribosomal RNA", at positions 354 to 796 of the family's 1533-position model. The record is from RNAcentral.
GUGGGGAAUUUUGCGCAAUGGGCGAAAGCCUGACGCAGCGACGCCGCGUGGAGGAUGAAGGUCUUCGGAUUGUAAACUCCUUUUGUAGGGGACAAUAAUGAUGGUACCCUAUGAAUAAGCCACGGCUAACUCUGUGCCAGCAGCCGCGGUAAGACAGAGGUGGCAAGCGUUGUUCGGAAUUACUGGGCUUAAAGGGCGCGUAGGCGGUGGAGUAAGUCCGGGGUGGAAGGCUGAGGCUUAACCUCAGGAUUGCCCUGGAAACUGCAUCACUUGAGUCAGCAAGGGGAUGGCGGAAUUCCUGGUGUAGCGGUGAAAUGCGUAGAUAUCAGGAGGAAGGCCGGUGGCGAAGGCGGCCAUCUGGUGCUGAACUGACGCUGAGGCGCGAAAGCGUGGGGAGCAAACAGGAUUAGAAACCCGAGUAGUCC